Molecule: ribosomal RNA, 406 nt
Filed under: uncultured bacterium
Lineage: Bacteria
Description: partial 16S ribosomal RNA
Rfam family: Bacterial small subunit ribosomal RNA
Source: RNAcentral
AUUGAACGCUGGCGGCAGGCCUAACACAUGCAAGUCGAGCGAGCGGCGGACGGGUGAGUACUGUCUGGGAAACUGCCUGAUGGAGGGGGCUAACUACUGGAAACGGUAGCUAAUAACGCAUACCAUCAGAUGUGCCCCGAUGGGAUUAGCUAGUGGGGGGGGUAACGGCUAACCUAGGCGACGAUCCCUAGAUGGUCGGAGAGGAUGAUCCGCAACACUGGAACCUAGACACGGUCCAGACUCCUACGGGAGGCAGCAGUGGGGAAUAUUGCACAAUGGGCGAAAGCCUGAUGCAGCCAUGCCGCGUGUGUGAAGAAGGUCUUCGGGUUGUAAAGCACUUUCAGCGGGGAGGCGUUACCCGCAGAAGAAGCACCGGCUAACUCCGUGCCAGCCGCCGCGGUAAUAC